GCUUACGACCAUAUCACGUUGAGAACACCGGUUCUCGUCUGAUCACCGAAGUUAAGCAACGUCGAGCCGAGUCAGUACUUGGGAGGGUGACCAC
This 94-nucleotide ribosomal RNA is filed under the name Euroglyphus maynei. The record is from RNAcentral. Lineage: Eukaryota; Metazoa; Arthropoda; Arachnida; Sarcoptiformes; Pyroglyphidae.